GCACGCGUAGCCAAGUUGGUUAAGGCGCCGGUCUGCAAAACCGGUCAUCGUGAGUUCGAAUCUCACCGCGUGCU
RNAcentral lists this transfer RNA (74 nucleotides) under Acidobacteriota bacterium. RNAcentral's name for it is "tRNA-Cys". It matches the Rfam family "tRNA". Rfam says of the family: Transfer RNA (tRNA) molecules are approximately 80 nucleotides in length. Their secondary structure includes four short double-helical elements and three loops (D, anti-codon, and T loops). Further hydrogen bonds mediate the characteristic L-shaped molecular structure. tRNAs have two regions of fundamental functional importance: the anti-codon, which is responsible for specific mRNA codon recognition, and the 3' end, to which the tRNAs corresponding amino acid is attached (by aminoacyl-tRNA synthetases). tRNAs cope with the degeneracy of the genetic code in two manners: having more than one tRNA (with a specific anti-codon) for a particular amino acid; and 'wobble' base-pairing, i.e. permitting non-standard base-pairing at the 3rd anti-codon position. RNAcentral also lists the same sequence under 1 other name. Lineage: Bacteria; Pseudomonadati; Acidobacteriota. The record is from RNAcentral.